Molecule: long non-coding RNA, 797 nt
Organism: Dendronephthya gigantea
Lineage: Eukaryota; Metazoa; Cnidaria; Anthozoa; Malacalcyonacea; Nephtheidae
Exons: 3
Source: RefSeq, a predicted model, not a curated record
UAUGUGACUGUUAACAGCAUACGCAGCUUAUUUUGCUUUGCUGGAUACAGCUUGUGAAAAUUCACUACAACUAUAUACAUCGACCACGAGCAACUGUGAAACACCGUGAAGGCGGAUUAAAUACAUUUUACAGCACCAACAAUGUUCUUGAAAUGUCAUUUUUCAUUUCUGGUUACGAUGUACAUUCUUCUUGUCAACGGAGAAAACGAAGAAAUUCGGAACUUAAAUUUUUGUUUCAAUUCCUCUCUAGAAGGUUUCCGACUCAAUGCCACUGUUCUGAUGACCAAAUACGUUUGCCAGUGGAUAGACUGUGUUAGGGAAUGUGCAAGUGAGCCAUGCUGUAGAUCAGUCAACUAUAAACAUAUAUCUUCUUCGAAAAAUGAAUCAAACUGCGAAAUGUUACACAACGUGGUCUACAAUGUUUCUGAACAAUCAUUGGAACGAAAUUCUCAAUAUGAUUAUUUGUAUUUGACAAGCCCAAUGAAGGUGAGAACUGCAUGAGAACGGAGUGUAGCAGAUAGUGAGACUGUAUGCAAGCAAUUUACAAUCAUAGUGACUACUUUGCCAUUUGUAGGUAAAUUAUAAUCUGAAGCAUUAGGUUCCGUCCAUAAAAUGUUUAACGUUAAAACUCACCUUAGGUAGCUUGAUUUAUUAUUGUGGCCAUCAUAUUCGAUAAUCACCUUUAUAAACAUUUUGCAUCAACAUAGUGCAUUUUAUUUCUCUAACUAAAGAUUGUCCAUACUUUUACUGAUUAAGAACAAAAUUUUCUUUUUAUAGAGAUAUAACGAAUGUUGCAU